This 191-nucleotide small nuclear RNA is filed under the name Helobdella robusta. RNAcentral describes it as "U2 spliceosomal RNA". It matches the Rfam family "U2 spliceosomal RNA". From Rfam's summary of the family: U2 is a small nuclear RNA (snRNA) component of the spliceosome (involved in pre-mRNA splicing). Complementary binding between U2 snRNA (in an area lying towards the 5' end but 3' to hairpin I) and the branchpoint sequence (BPS) of the intron results the bulging out of an unpaired adenosine, on the BPS, which initiates a nucleophilic attack at the intronic 5' splice site, thus starting the first of two transesterification reactions that mediate splicing. Lineage: Eukaryota; Metazoa; Annelida; Clitellata; Rhynchobdellida; Glossiphoniidae. The record is from Rfam by way of RNAcentral.
AUCGCUUCUCGGCCUUUUGGCUAAGAUCAAAGUGUAGUAUCUGUUCUUAUCAGCUUAAUAUCUGAUAGGCCCUCCAUCGGGGGCAUCGAUAUUAAACUAUUCUUUGAACUCAGGUGUCUGUCUCGAGCUUGCUCAGACUUCCCCACGGGUUGACCCGUUAUUGCAGUACUUCUGGGAUCAGCCCAACCACC